Molecule: ribosomal RNA, 511 nt
Filed under: uncultured bacterium
Lineage: Bacteria
Description: bacterial SSU rRNA
Rfam family: Bacterial small subunit ribosomal RNA
Source: RNAcentral
CUGGCUCAGGAUAAACGCUGGCGGCGUGCUUAACACAUGCAAGUCGAACGGAGUAUCCUUCGGAAGAUUGAAGAGCUUGCUCGGAGAGAUUCUUGGAAUACUUAGUGGCGGACGGGUGAGUAACGCGUGGGUAACCUGCCUCACACAGGGGGAUAACAGUUGGAAACGACUGUUAAUACCGCAUAAGCGCACAGUACCGCAUGGUACGGUGUGAAAAACUCCGGUGGUGUGAGAUGGACCCCGCGUCUGAUUAGCUAGUUGGUGAGGUAACGGCCCACCAAGGCGACGAUCAGUAGCCGGCCUGAGAGGGUGUACGGCCACAUUGGGACUGAGACACGGCCCAAACUCCUACGGGAGGCAGCAGUGGGGAAUAUUGCACAAUGGGGGGAACCCUGAUGCAGCGACGCCCGCGUGAGUGAUGAAGUAUCUCGGUAUGUAAAGCUCUAUCAGCAGGGAAGAUAAUGACGGUACCUGACUAAGAAGCACCGGCUAAAUACGUGCCAGCCGCCGC